CGGGGUGUGGCGCAGUCCGGUUAGCGCACCUGUUUUGGGUACAGGGGGUCGGAAGUUCGAAUCUUCUCACCCCGACCA
RNAcentral lists this transfer RNA (78 nucleotides) under Candidatus Marinamargulisbacteria bacterium SCGC AAA071-K20. RNAcentral's name for it is "tRNA-Pro". It matches the Rfam family "tRNA". From Rfam's summary of the family: Transfer RNA (tRNA) molecules are approximately 80 nucleotides in length. Their secondary structure includes four short double-helical elements and three loops (D, anti-codon, and T loops). The record is from RNAcentral. Lineage: Bacteria; Bacillati; Candidatus Margulisiibacteriota; Candidatus Marinamargulisbacteria.